UAGCUAGUUGGUGAGGUAAAGGCUUACCAAGGCGACGAUCUGUAGCGGGUCUGAGAGGAUGAUCCGCCACACUGGAACUGAGACACGGUCCAGACUCCUACGGGAGGCAGCAGUGGGGAAUUUUGGACAAUGGGGGCAACCCUGAUCCAGCCAUGCCGCGUGAGUGAAGAAGGCCUUCGGGUUGUAAAGCUCUUUCGGCCGGGAAGAAAUCGCAUGGGCCAAUACCCUGUGUGGAUGACGGUACCGGAAUAAGAAGCACCGGCUAACUACGUGCCAGCAGCCGCGGUAAUAUGUAGGGUGCGAGCGUUAAUCGGAAUUACUGGGCGUAAAGCGUGCGCAGGCGGUUUUGUAAGACAGGCGUGAAAUCCCCGGGCUUAACCUGGGAACUGCGUUUGUGACUGCAAGGCUAGAGUACGGCAGAGGGGGGUGGAAUUCCACGUGUAGCAGUGAAAUGCGUAGAGAUGUGGAGGAACACCAAUGGCGAAGGCAGCCCCCUGGGUCGAUACUGACGCUCAUGCACGAAAGCGUGGGUAGCAAACAGGAUUAGAUACCCUGGUAGUCCACGCCCUAAACUAUGUCAACUAGGUGUUGGGUGGGUAAAACCAUUUAGUACCGUAGCUAACGCGUGAAGUUGACCGCCUGGGAGUACGGCCGCAAGGUUAAAACUCAAAGUAAUUGACGGGGACCCGCACAAGCGGUGGAUGAUGUGGAUUAAUUCGAUGCAACGCGAAAAACCUUACCUACCCUUGACAUGCCAGGAACUUGCCAGAGAUGGCUUGGUGCCCGAAAGGGAGCCUGGACACAGGUGCUGCAUGGCUGUCGUCAGCUCGUGUCGUGAGAUGUUGGGUUAAGUCCCGCAACGAGCGCAACCCUUGUCGUUAAUUGCCAUCAUUUAGUUGGGCACUUUAACGAGACUGCCGGUGACAAACCGGAGGAAGGUGGGGAUGACGUCAAGUCCUCAUGGCCCUUAUGGGUAGGGCUUCACACGUCAUACAAUGGUCGGUACAAAGGGUUGCCAAGCCGCGAGGCGGAGCCAAUCCCAGAAAGCCGAUCGUAGUCCGGAUUGCAGGCUGCAACUCGCCUGCAUGAAGUCGGAAUCGCUAGUAAUCGUGGAUCAGCACGUCACGGUGAAUACAUUCCCGGGUCUUGUACACACCGCCCGUCACACCAUGGGAGCGGGUUCCGCCAGAAGUAGGUAGCCUAACCGCAAGGGGGGCGCUUACCACGGCGGGGUUCGUGACUGGGGUGAAGUCGUAACAAGGUAGCCGUAGGGGAACCUGCGGCUG
This 1286-nucleotide ribosomal RNA is filed under the name metagenome. RNAcentral describes it as "bacterial SSU rRNA". It matches the Rfam family "Bacterial small subunit ribosomal RNA", at positions 242 to 1520 of the family's 1533-position model. The record is from RNAcentral.